RNAcentral lists this non-coding RNA (338 nucleotides) under Otolemur garnettii (small-eared galago). Lineage: Eukaryota; Metazoa; Chordata; Mammalia; Primates; Galagidae. The record is from Rfam by way of RNAcentral.
GCUAGGUGUUGUGGUGGGCACCUGUAGUCCCAGCUAUUUGGGAGGCUGAGGCAAGAGAAUCACUUAAGCCCAAGAGUUGGAGGUUGUUGUGAGCUGUGAUGCCAUGGCACUCUACUGAGGGUGACAUAGUGAAACUCUGUCUCAAGAAAAGAAGAAAAAGUGAGGGUUUUGACUAAAUCCAGUGAUUUAGAACAAACCAUUUUAUUUUAUUUUAUUUAUUUAUUUAUUUUUUAUUUUUUUGAGACAGAGCCUCAAGCUGUCCCCCUGGGUAGAGUGCCGUGGCAUUACAGCUCACAGCAACCUCCAACUCUUGGGCUCAAGCGAGUCUCUUGCCUCCG